This 230-nucleotide ribosomal RNA is filed under the name uncultured bacterium. RNAcentral describes it as "partial 16S ribosomal RNA". It matches the Rfam family "Bacterial small subunit ribosomal RNA", at positions 561 to 790 of the family's 1533-position model. The record is from RNAcentral.
UAAAGCGUGCGCAGGCGGUUAUGUAAGACAGAUGUGAAAUCCCCGGGCUCAACCUGGGAACUGCAUUUGUGACUGCAUGGCUAGAGUACGGUAGAGGGGGAUGGAAUUCCGCGUGUAGCAGUGAAAUGCGUAGAUAUGCGGAGGAACACCGAUGGCGAAGGCAAUCCCCUGGACCUGUACUGACGCUCAUGCACGAAAGCGUGGGGAGCAAACAGGAUUAGAUACCGAGU